RNAcentral lists this ribosomal RNA (200 nucleotides) under uncultured bacterium. RNAcentral describes it as "partial 16S ribosomal RNA". It matches the Rfam family "Bacterial small subunit ribosomal RNA", at positions 328 to 544 of the family's 1533-position model. The record is from RNAcentral.
ACGCUCGACACCUACGAGAGGCAGCAGUGGGGAAUAUUGCACAAUGGGGGAAACCCUGAUGCAGCGACGCCGCGUGAGCGAAGAAGUAUUUCGGUAUGUAAGGCUCUAUCAGCAGGGAAGAAACUGACGGUACCUGACUAAGAAGCACCGGCUAAAUACGUGCCAGCAGCCGUGGUAAUCUGAGGCGGGCGUGGCAAGGC